GAUUUAAGUUUAUUUGAUUUUGAUUUGAGUUCACAUCUCAUGAAUAUACACAUUUAAAUUAGACAGACAGGACAUAUAAUCUUAAUAUUGUAUUUUAUAUUCGUAAAUGUAUUUUAGCUCUGUUAGUGUUGUUGCUGAAUUCUUUUAUUAUUGUUGUUUCAUUAGGAGUUGUGCUUGUUAAAUUUGCUAUUUGUUUAGGGAACUCUUGGGGGUCAUUACGUAUUUGUUUUCAUUUAUGAGCGCAUUUAUGAUGCUGAUGCGGCCAAGCGCUGUAUAUGGCAUAUUAAUAUUGUUUAAAUAGUUAAUCUCCUCCUGUUUCUUCUUCUCUUUUUUUUUUUUUUUCUUUUGUUUUAUAAAUAUGCAAUAUGUUUGUAACAAUAUUUAAUGAUAAUUACGCAAAUAAUUAAACUAAAGUGAAAGCUUUUUCCAUUAAAUGUACAUCUUGUAAAUAUUGGUAGUAGCAAAAACUUAGGGCUACAUUUACAAUAGGGUUUUCCUUUCGUUUUCCGAUAUUAUAUAUGUUAGGGUAUAAAAUGCUGAUACCAUUGUAGAAAUUGUCACUUAAAUAUAGUUGGGGCUGUUUUUUGGUUUUCUAUGUACAAAAGUGUGUUAGUUUUCCUUAGCGGUUCUUUAACAUUUUAUGUUGGGAUUUCCUUUUUGUUUUCUUUUGGUUUAUUUCAUUUUUCGCUUGCGCUGAGUUUUACAAAUGUUAUUUAUUUCUGAAUGUCUAGUUAGAUGGGUGAUCAUAGUUUUCUUUUUGAUUUUGGGAAACUUGCAUUUUUAACAAGUGCGCUAAAAAGUGCAAUUCUACAUUUUGUGGUGGAGAGAGGGAGAGAGGGGGAGAUAGAGAGGUAUUAGAGAGAGGAGAGAAAGAGUUAGAUAUCAUGAUGAUACACUCUGAGAAAUCCGGUGAGUGAUGCGAGUCUUGGCAGCAAAUGUUUCGUUUUAUGGCUGAAGAAAUAAGACUUAGCUCGUCCCCAUUUCUCUGAGUGUACUUAAAUAGUUUAUUGGCUUGGUGCAAAUGGAAAACUCUUGGAACUGCUUUAGAACUUGAUUGCGAAAGUAGUACAAGAAUAUUCCUUUGUGAUGUGCGUGGGAGAGAGUUUG
This is a long non-coding RNA of Drosophila arizonae, 1107 nucleotides long. NCBI's taxonomy places the organism in Eukaryota, Metazoa, Arthropoda, Insecta, Diptera, Drosophilidae. The record is from RefSeq and is a predicted model, not a curated record.